UACGUAGGCAGCAAGCGUUGUUCGGAGUUACUGGGCGUAAAGGGUGCGUAGGCGGCUUUUUAAGUUUGGUGUGAAAUCUCCCGGCUCAACUGGGAGGGUGCGCCGAAUACUGAGAGGCUAGAGUGUGGGAGAGGAAAGUGGAAUUCCUGGUGUAGCGGUGAAAUGCGUAGAUAUCAGGAGGAACACCGGUGGUGUAAACGCUUUCUGGACCAUAACUGACGCUGAGGCACGAAAGCGUGGGGAGCGAACAGG
RNAcentral lists this ribosomal RNA (252 nucleotides) under uncultured bacterium. RNAcentral describes it as "partial 16S ribosomal RNA". It matches the Rfam family "Bacterial small subunit ribosomal RNA", at positions 524 to 776 of the family's 1533-position model. The record is from RNAcentral.